RNAcentral lists this long non-coding RNA (798 nucleotides) under Olea europaea subsp. europaea. Lineage: Eukaryota; Viridiplantae; Streptophyta; Magnoliopsida; Lamiales; Oleaceae. The record is from RNAcentral.
GGUUUCUCCGUGUUUCCAUUUACUUCCCUUUUACACCUUGCACACAGGACGUUUUCGUCCUUUUUUGGUUCUUUUCCUUUGAUACGUUCAAAGACACUGGGAUGUGGCUUGGGAUCUUCUUCUCCGUCAUCUAUGACUAACUUGAAUUUUGGUAACUUGUUCUUGAAUCCAGAUGUUACCAUGUUUACCCCAAGUGGCUGUGGGAAAGGAUUCUCGUCCACUGCCAUCUUUCUCUUAUCGUCGAACGUAAUUCGUCCUGACUCAAUAGCAUCCUGCAAUACGUGACGAAAAACCAAGCAAUUGUUAGUCAAAUGUGACCAUGCAUUAUGCCACUUACAAUAUUUUUUACCCUUUAUUUGUUCAGGGUUUGGCAAUUUGUGCUUAUCGCUCAGCUUUAUUUGCUUAUCCCUAUAUAACUUAUCGAAUAUAAGGUCAGCUUUGGUCACAUCGAACGAGAACGCUCUAGCCUUUAUGUUUCCAUCCUUUAUGGGCUCAUCUUUGCCCGAUGGUUUAGGCUUGGCCAUUAUGGGACAAGUAUAUGUAUCCCCUUUUACUAAUUCGGCCAAACACAUUUCGGCCUGAUCGUACGAUUCGUCAUCGAUGGUAUGAACGUCAAAAUUUGGGUCUCUGUAAUAAGUCCCUUUGCUAGAAUUUUUCAUUUGUCCUUCUUCUCUUAUCAAUCGCUCAUACCUAAUGACAUUCGCACUCAACUGGAAAAGGUCGGGAAAUUCCUUGUCUUGGAACUUCUUUUUUAAAUCAAAGCUCAAGCAACCUUGUGCGAUCUUGACAAAUUCUUUU